GUGGUUUCGGAGUCGGGAUUUUGGGGGCGAGAUGAGCUAAUGAUUUAUCCAACUGGCCCGCAAAGUCCCGCUUCUGGAAGUCA
This is a microRNA precursor of Xenopus tropicalis (tropical clawed frog), 83 nucleotides long. Ensembl annotates it as xtr-mir-193. Its record names the gene xtr-mir-193. The record is from Ensembl. Lineage: Eukaryota; Metazoa; Chordata; Amphibia; Anura; Pipidae.